GGGUGACGAGUGGCGGACGGGUGAGUAAUGUCUGGGGAUCUGCCCGAUAGAGGGGGAUAACCACUGGAAACGGUGGCUAAUACCGCAUAACGUCGCAAGACCAAAGAGGGGGACCUUCGGGCCUCUCACUAUCGGAUGAACCCAGAUGGGAUUAGCUAGUAGGCGGGGUAACGGCCCACCUAGGCGACGAUCCCUAGCUGGUCUGAGAGGAUGACCAGCCACACUGGAACUGAGACACGGUCCAGACUCCUACGGGAGGCAGCAGUGGGGAAUAUUGCACAAUGGGCGCAAGCCUGAUGCAGCCAUGCCGCGUGUAUGAAGAAGGCCUUCGGGUUGUAAAGUACUUUCAGCGGGGAGGAAGGCAGUGAGGUUAAUAACCUUAUUGAUUGACGUUACCCGCAGAAGAAGCACCGGCUAACUCCGUGCCAGCAGCCGCGGUAAUACGGAGGGUGCAAGCGUUAAUCGGAAUUACUGGGCGUAAAGCGCACGCAGGCGGUCUGUUAAGUCAGAUGUGAAAUCCCCGGGCUUAACCUGGGAACUGCAUUUGAAACUGGCAGGCUUGAGUCUCGUAGAGGGGGGUAGAAUUCCAGGUGUAGCGGUGAAAUGCGUAGAGAUCUGGAGGAAUACCGGUGGCGAAGGCGGCCCCCUGGACGAAGACUGACGCUCAGGUGCGAAAGCGUGGGGAGCAAA
Molecule: ribosomal RNA, 690 nt
Filed under: Pantoea ananatis
Lineage: Bacteria; Pseudomonadati; Pseudomonadota; Gammaproteobacteria; Enterobacterales; Erwiniaceae
Description: bacterial SSU rRNA
Rfam family: Bacterial small subunit ribosomal RNA
Source: RNAcentral